Molecule: transfer RNA, 73 nt
Filed under: Hordeum vulgare
Lineage: Eukaryota; Viridiplantae; Streptophyta; Magnoliopsida; Poales; Poaceae
Description: tRNA-OTHER
Source: RNAcentral
UCGGUUGUAGCCCAGCUGGUCAGCGCGCUCAGUAGCAAAUGUGAGGUCCUGGGAUCAAUCCCUAGCGCCUAAA